AGUGAACGCUGGCGGUAGGCCUAACACAUGCAAGUCGAACGGCAGCACAGUAAGAGCUUGCUCUUACGGGUGGCGAGUGGCGGACGGGUGAGGAAUACAUCGGAAUCUACUUUUUCGUGGGGGAUAACGUAGGGAAACUUACGCUAAUACCGCAUACGACCUACGGGUGAAAGCAGUGGAUCUUCGGACCUUGCGCGAUUGAAUGAGCCGAUGUCGGAUUAGCUAGUUGGCGGGGUAAAGGCCCACCAAGGCGACGAUCCGUAGCUGGUCUGAGAGGAUGAUCAGCCACACUGGAACUGAGACACGGUCCAGACUCCUACGGGAGGCAGCAGUGGGGAAUAUUGGACAAUGGGCGCAAGCCUGAUCCAGCCAUACCGCGUGGGUGAAGAAGGCCUUCGGGUUGUAAAGCCCUUUUGUUGGGAAAGAAAAGCAGCAGGUUAAUACCCCGCUGUUCUGACGGUACCCAAUGAAUAAGCACCGGCUAACUUCGUG
RNAcentral lists this ribosomal RNA (492 nucleotides) under uncultured bacterium. RNAcentral describes it as "partial 16S ribosomal RNA". It matches the Rfam family "Bacterial small subunit ribosomal RNA", at positions 29 to 507 of the family's 1533-position model. The record is from RNAcentral.